GUCCCUGUAGCUUACAACAAAGCAUAGCACUGAAGAUGCUAAGACGGUCCUCUAUUACCCAGGGACA
Molecule: transfer RNA, 67 nt
Filed under: Raphus cucullatus (Dodo)
Lineage: Eukaryota; Metazoa; Chordata; Aves; Columbiformes; Raphidae
Description: tRNA-Phe
Source: RNAcentral